AGAACGAACGCUGGCGGCAUGCCUAACACAUGCAAGUCGAACGAGACCUUCGGGUCUAGUGGCGCACGGGUGCGUAACGCGUGGGAAUCUACCCUUGGGUUCGGAAUAACAGUUGGAAACGACUGCUAAUACCGGAUGAUGACGUAAGUCCAAAGAUUUAUCGCCCAGGGAUGAGCCCGCGUAGGAUUAGCUAGUUGUGAGGUAAAGGCUCACCAAGGCGACGAUCCUUAGCGUGGUCUGAGAGGAUGAUCAGCCACACUGGACUGAGACACGGCCCAGACUCCGUACGGGAGCAGCGAGGUAGGGGAAUAGUUGGAACCAAGUGGGACGAAAGCCGUAGACUCGAGACAAGUCG
This 355-nucleotide ribosomal RNA is filed under the name uncultured soil bacterium. RNAcentral describes it as "bacterial SSU rRNA". It matches the Rfam family "Bacterial small subunit ribosomal RNA", at positions 26 to 399 of the family's 1533-position model. The record is from RNAcentral.